CUUCCGCCGGCGACCGGCGCACGGGUGAGUAACACGUAUGCAACCUGCCCCUGUCAGGGGGACAACCGCCGAAAGGCGGGCUAAACCCGCGUACAUGCCACCGGGGCAUCCCGGAGGCAGGAAAGGCUUCGGCCGGACAGGGAUGGGCAUGCGGCGCAUUAGGCAGUAGGCGGGGUAACGGCCCACCUAACCGACGAUGCGUAGGGGUUCUGAGAGGAAGGUCCCCCACACUGGUACUGAGACACGGACCAGACUCCUACGGGAGGCAGCAG
RNAcentral lists this ribosomal RNA (272 nucleotides) under uncultured bacterium. RNAcentral's name for it is "partial 16S ribosomal RNA". It matches the Rfam family "Bacterial small subunit ribosomal RNA", at positions 82 to 354 of the family's 1533-position model. The record is from RNAcentral.